Long non-coding RNA from Fukomys damarensis (Damara mole-rat), 567 nucleotides. RefSeq lists it as uncharacterized. The transcript is spliced from 4 exons. Lineage: Eukaryota; Metazoa; Chordata; Mammalia; Rodentia; Bathyergidae. The record is from RefSeq and is a predicted model, not a curated record.
UAAUAUACUUUAUAUCACCCAGUACUUCUUCCCUCAUCCUCUUGUUGACUUUGCUUCCUAGGUCAUAGAAAACAGAAGUAAUCCCAAGCAAAAUUUCACAAGCUUGUACAUCUCCCUCCUGCCAGCAACUGCACCCUACAGAGUCCUGCUUUGCCUCCUUUCCUUACAAUGAAUUGUCCAGUGUAGGGACACCGAAUCCCAUCAUCACUCAUCUGCUCAAGGUCUUUACUCCACGGAUUCACUCCUUACUUUGGAGGCAGAAUCUAAAUCAUCACGCCCAGCUUACAAAUGAGAAAAGCAGGAUGCAGACUGGUGAAGUCCCUGGAUUAAGGAGGCAGAAUCUAAAUCAUCACGCCCAGCUUACAAAUGAGAAAAGCAGGAUGCAGACUGGUGAAGUCUCUGGACUGAGGUAAACAAGUGAUGACUGAAGAGGGAGUAGGAGUCAAACAUGUGCUGCCACAGGUGAAGGAAGGCAAACAUCUACCCAGGGUAUGAACUACCUAAGGGGUCCCCAAGGACAAGACCUGCAGGCAGCUUCUCUGAGCAGCAAGAAGUCCCUAACCGACA